This is a long non-coding RNA of Canis lupus familiaris (dog), 968 nucleotides long. RefSeq lists it as uncharacterized. The transcript has 6 exons. The record is from RefSeq and is a predicted model, not a curated record. Lineage: Eukaryota; Metazoa; Chordata; Mammalia; Carnivora; Canidae.
GGGGCCUCCACCCGCGAAGCGGGGCGCGCCUGGCUCGCCCCCUCGGCACCGCGCCCCCAGCCCCGUCAGGGCUUGUUUCCCGCAUCUACGGGUGACUUGCCGUGAAGACGUGCUGAGGCCCAGGCGGCCCUCCCUGGCUUUGGUGGCGUGUUUCCCCGUCCCCGCAGCUGGCGCAGCGACACAGAAGCGCAAGUGCUUUAGGGGCUGGCGGGGCUCCCUAGACGGUCUCCUCGGAUGCCUUUCCUUUUGGGGCCCACUUGAAAAGGAGAAGUCAGGGAAAGGCUGAUUCAACUCAUUCAGGCACACGAAGAGCCACACAAAACAGCCCAAGUUGAGCUGACAUUCCAAGGAACCUCUGUGAUUUUAUAAUCCACUUGUCUCAUUUUAUUGAUGAGGCAAAUGAGGUCCAGAGAGAUGAAGACUCUCACCCAGGGUCACACAGCAAGCCAGCACAAGAACCCAACAUCCUGCCUCCCAGUUUCAUGCUGUUCAGUCAAUACUGUACCUGCUUCUCUGGCUUUUGGGUCAAAGCUCCCAAGAAAUCUGCUAUCACAGUUUUCCAUAGGACUCUUACUGUUUACCACAGUUGUAUGCUAGGAAGCUCAACCACUUCCCCAAGAAUACAGAAGCCAGAAAACAGGCCCAUUGCACACUGAGAAGGGCUCUGAAAUGGAACAAAUGCAAGGGAAGUAGAAUUCAGUUUCACAGGCUUCGUAAAAAAUGUUGCCACAACCGGCAUUAUCACAGAUGCCAAAUGGGGAAAACAGAGAGAAAGUCAACCAUUUAGUAUAUGUUUGCCUCCAAAUAAUCAGUGUUUUGAGACCAGCUGGGAUAUUCCUAGACCCUUCAUCUUUCUGUUUACCAAAUUGCAGAUCACCAGGAAGUGACACGAAGUAUAUGAUCUAUUACCGAAACUAAUUACCCCCAAAACUAGUGACCUUAGAACAAUAAACCUUUAUUAUAUCUCA